This is a long non-coding RNA of Oncorhynchus kisutch (coho salmon), 4025 nucleotides long. RefSeq lists it as uncharacterized. The transcript has 9 exons. The record is from RefSeq and is a predicted model, not a curated record. Lineage: Eukaryota; Metazoa; Chordata; Actinopteri; Salmoniformes; Salmonidae.
AUACAACCGGCUCGAGCAUGAAUCCGUCAGGCACUUGGACCCAUAAUUUCUUGCUACUGCUGAGAUUGCUUAACAUUUCCUGGUAUUCCAGGAUAUACAUUUAAAACCAGUCCUGAGCACUAACAUCUACAGUAGACACUACAAUGUCGGGAAAUCCAGCAGUGGUGAUGCGUUUGGUGGCUUCAGCUUACGCAGUGGCAGAGAAGACACUGGCAGACAGGCUGGUCCAGCAGAGCAUGUGUUCCUCCCUAUCCAAAAGCUUCCCCAAAAUCACCAUCAUCGGAGAGGAGGAAAGUGACUAAUUGAAGGUUGCAAGUGACUAAUAGAAGGUUGCAAGUUCAAAUCCCCGAGCUGACAAGUGAACAUCUCUAACAUCAGGAUCUGCCAGAGGAGGCUGUCAAAGACCUGAUUGAGAGCAGUCAGUCUGAAGAAAUCCUACAAGUCCUGUCCAUUGGGAUACAGUGCACUGAAAGAGCUGUGUUUCUGUGUUUGAAUGUCCCGGUGUCUGAAUUUUAGCUGGUUGUGUGGGUCGACCCCCUUGAUGGCACGAAAGAAUACACUGAAGUGGCCAAGUGUCUUUACCUGCCACAUCAGGUCCAGAUGUGUCAUACGGGGUCGGACGCCCAGCUUCUUAGUACGACUCCGUAUGGUGACAGAGGGAGGGUAUUGGGACUGGGAGGGACGAGCAGAAAAGGUCUUCUUGAGCAUGUGACUGUACUGAUCAGCAUUUCAUAUGGAGGGAAGGCCAUUGCCAGGGUCAUCAACCAGCCCUUCAAUUACCAGUUGGGGACGGAGACAGCAGACAUGUGGGGAAUGCCAGGACUGGGCGCCUUUGGGUUCGAGCUACAGGAGGUUCCGGAUGGCCGCCGCAUAGUCACCACGACCCGUUCCCACAGCAACAAACUUGUCAGACACCGUGGAUGCCAUGGUACCUCAUGAUGUGAUAAGAGUUGGCGGAGCAGGAAAUAGUGAAAUGAGAAGGUAUGGUCGGGGUACAUAGGUAAACAUCAAUAAAAUUGGAGGGGAAGGCCUUAGCCUGUGUCUUUGCCAGUCUUGGAACUAAAAAGUGGGACACUUGUGCCCCUGAAGCCAUCCUGCAUGCAUUAGGAGGUAAGCAACAUCCUCUUGAUCAUACUGAAAGUACCUCUAAUGAGUAAUGAAAAAAUAAUGGCGUCUGCUGUUUUUUUUCCUUUCUUGUCCGUCCCUCUGCAGGUAAGCUGACAGACAUGCAUGGCAGUGCGUUGCGGUGCUAAUGUUAAGCACAUGAAUUCUGCUGGGGUGCUGGCCACACUACACAACCACCAGUACAACACCAGCAAAGUGCCCCAGUCAGUCCUGCAGGCCCUGAUUGAUAAAUAUAAUUUACAAUUGUUAUUGUCCAAAAACCCUGCCAAAUUAUUAAAACAUUUCUAGCACCUAGUCAUAAAUGGAAUGUUAAUCUCCAUAAUUACUUGUAUAAAAUAAUCUACGUUGUACCACAAAAUAAUUAAUCUUGAGACAAACAAUAACUAGUAAUGCUGCAUACAUCAAGAAAGGUUCAAAUCUCAUCUCUGGUAAAAAUAGUUAUGAAGUGUAGUCACUUGACACAAGCAGAACAAAUAAAAUGUGGUAUUUCCAAUUCAAAACUAUGAACAAGGCUUGAAAUGACAUGCUUUCUAAAUAUAGUAUAACCAAAUGGCCAACAAAAGUGAAAUCUUAGAAAAUAUACACAUUCUAAAGGUCUCGAUUAAAGCGUCUGACCUGAUUGCUGUGAACAUCUGAGCACUAGCUUGGCUUCCUUAACGCGUUUGGAACUCACCUUAAUCUUGUCAGUCUGACUUGUUUAAAUUCAAAGUAUUAUUUUAAUGGCUAUAAAUCAAUCUGCUAUAGUGAGAAAACCACUCAUGCUACGUUAUCUAAGGAUUGCAGGCAUGUGACUGUGAAUUAAGGUUCAGCCAGGAGUUGAACAGUCAGAAGAGGGAAUUAAAUGGUAGGAGGAACAUCCCAGCGCCAAGUGGUUUCAGAUUUCAUAUUCUACUUUACACAGGCUCAGAAAAUAUACCACUGUGUCUUUGGGAAGCAGGGCUAUUGCUCAAUGCAAGCCAUUUAGAUCUACGGUGUCCACAUAAAUUAAAAUGUCAGUCGGUACCAGAACCACGCAGGUCCCCUAAACAGGGGACAUUACAUCUGAGGUCAUAAGCGUAAUUUUUUUUUUUACUGUAUAGAUACUUUUGGGCUAGAAAAAUCAUGCCAUGUUUGACACUUCUGGUAAAGAAUCACAUUGUACAAACAUUUCUAAACAGCCCAGACUGAUUCAUUACCCAAAUGAAUGGCACAAUAAUCAUGAAACAGACAUAGUAGGCCAAGGGUGCCUUCAAAACAUGAAACGCAUGUCCAAAUGAUUUGAUAAAACUGCUGAUCUACAUUUACAAUUGGUUGACAGAUGUGUAAUUAUUACCUCUGAUGGACAGUGGAACAACACUAGGCCCUCCAACACUGCACCCAUUGAGUAGCUGUGUUUUUUUAUUAUUAAGGUAGCCCAAAGAAUGACAGACACGAGAGGCAGGGUCAACGGCACUGUUCCAUUUAUUCCAUUCAGAGUGAAACGAAAAUUUUACAAAUCUCAAAACUGUUUAAAACACUGAGUUUCCAACUUCAAGAGACUGAUAGAUCAGAACAAGACAAAAGGUGCGAUAUAGCCAACCUCAAACCUAAAAUAUUAUUUGAAUAUUCCUUAGUAAGCUCAUUAGUUGGAUGACAACUCUGAACCAGAUAUUUGAAUCAUCUCCUCUUGAAAAGGUACACAUACUGUAUUCACUAUUCACAUUCUGAUGCCUUGCUGGUCGUUGACAUGUCAGCCUCUUUCGGCUGUCCUAAGAUCUACCACUAGGGGGCAGCAAUGUCUAAGUAAGUGAUCCCGCUACAAAGUGCCAUCUCGGCCUCACCCCGAGCUUGGUAAGCAUGUGCUUGACCCCCGUGUGAUGUAAUAUGCCAUGUUUACAAGAACUGCAGGGGCAAUGGGGAAUGCUGAAAACAGCUUGUGUAAAGUUAAACUUGUAAUCGUCUAGUGGGGCCAACUGGCCGUGUUUGAGAAAAAUAAUAUUCAACACCAAUAGAAAUCCGGUGCCUUUGACUCUUGCCUUAACUUUCCAAGCCACCACCAUCUAUACAGGCACACCGUUAAAGCAAUGUCUACAAACAGUUUUCAGCAAUUGAAGCAGGUUCGGUGGAUACGAGGAGAGGGCUGGUGUGGUGGACAAGAUUGAUUCAAAACCAACAGGCAUUUUAAACACCCAUUUGUUGUGAACCCUUUGAGUUGAGGACACAUGACCUUAACUGUACUAGUUAACAUGUAUACACAGUUAAAAUGUACAGAAUGUGUAUACAAUACAUGCCCAGUGUGUAUAUACACUGUCAUUUUGUAUGGUUUUGAUAAAAUGCAUUUGUACAAGUACUUUCAAAGUUGUUAAUAGUUCAUUAGUGUCUCCAUAAAGAGAGAAAUUUGAGUCCAACGGGGUGAAAAUGACUUGCUCCAAACUCAUUAAGAGGCUAAACCAUUCCACUCAGUUACUGUAGCCAAAACGGCCAAUGUUAUUAGUAAUAUUGUGAGAAGGUUACACAUUAGCAGGGUAAAUUGUGAGACUGGGUGGAGAGGAUCUCACGUUAUUGGUCUUGAAGAGUCAAGGCUGGGGUAAAGAACCCAACUCACACACACUCAUUAUUCAACUUUUUUCUAUACCUGAAGGCAGAAAAGCGUCCCUUCAGAAUGCAUUGCCCCUUUCCACAAAAGGCGUGUAUCGUAUUGCUGCACCUUAGCAACCCAUUUCAUAGCAUUGAAAAACCACGUCACUUAUAUUAUUAAUAAAAAUACCAACAAACAAGCAAAGAAAAAAAAUACGUUCACAGCAAAGAUUUAAUAUUUUACACAUGAAAUAGGUGAGUGGGGGUCAGGGGGGCUAGAGCGCUUCCCAUAGAUGGGAGGGAGGGGACAGGACGUUGCAGGGGGCAAUAGAGGAAAUGGUGCAAGGAGGAGGCGAGAUGGGGGG